RNAcentral lists this ribosomal RNA (127 nucleotides) under uncultured bacterium. Its description in RNAcentral is "partial 16S ribosomal RNA". It matches the Rfam family "Bacterial small subunit ribosomal RNA", at positions 917 to 1045 of the family's 1533-position model. The record is from RNAcentral.
GGGCCCGCACAAGCAGCGGAGCAUGUGGUUAAUUCGAUGCAACGCGAAGAACCUUACCAGGGCUUGACAUGCACUGGAAAUCCGUAGAAAUACGGCCCUCCUUCGGGACCAGUGCACAGGUGGUGCA